GAGAGAAUCUGAGGUCCAGUGGAGAGAGGCUAAGGCAGAGUGGAGAGAAGCUGGUGUUUAGGGGAGAGAAGAGGGGAUCCAGGGGAGAGAAGCUGAGGACUAGUGGGGAGGAUUUGAGAUCCACUGGAGAUAGACGUUGGUCAAUUGCAGAGAAGCUGGGAUCCAGUAGGGAGAAGCUGGGGACUAGUGGAGGGAAGCUGGAGGGUUUAAGAAUGGGGAGCAUAAAUGAAAAGAAAAUUGAAAGAAUGGUAGAAGUUACCAGUGAUGAAAGAUUGAUAGAAAUUACUGAUGCUGAGAAGGCAAUUCCUUCUGAAAGGGUAGAGGAGACUGAUGAAGAGCUACAAGAGACUGAGAAAGGGGUGGAGGUUGAGGAGGAUGUCUUGGAUGGAAGGAAUGAUAAUACUGAUGAAUCUGUUUCUAUGGAAGAGAAAGAGAUUACAGAGGAAGGUACUGAUGAAGGAGGCACAUGAAGGAUUUAAGCAAAAGAAGGAAAGAGAAGCAGCUAGCGGAAGUAUUGCCAAGUCAAAAAGGAGAAAUUAGAGCCAAGCAGAACAUUAUUGACCCAGGAAAGGUAAAUAUGAGAAAGAAGGGAGAGCAUCUGAGCUUAAGAGAAUUGUUACUGGGAAUGAAGGCAGAGACCAGGACCAAAGGAAGUGAAGAAGAGUGAUAAAGAGUGAAAUGGAACAUUGUGAGAAGAAAGAGAAGAUUUAUUAGUGUGUUGAUAGAGGAAAAGUGGAUGUUGGUUUCUUGGAGAAGAGCUGUGACUGAGGAGCUUGUCGAGAAAGGUUUGAGAAAUGGAUUUAGGAUGGGCUAGAAGAAUGUAGUUUAACAUAUGAUGGGGUUUAUGAGAUGUAGGAGAAUGCAUAGGGAGAAAAAUGGGAAGUUACAGCCAGAUAAGGAUAGAGAAUGAAGGUUGUGAAAGAAGAUGCAGGCUGGAGUAAAUGAAGACAAUUUCUGAAAGAGGUCCGAAAGAAAAAUGAGGAGCUCCAAAGUGACAAAAGCCAGAGCAGAGAUAAGAAAAUAAAGAAGUGAAGAAAAAAAUCUCUGCCUUCCCGAGAUCAUCCACUUCUGGCCUCCUCUGAUGAUUAUCUGAGUACCGAAAAAUGGUUGCCUCUCUUAUGAGAGGCCCUCACGGGCAUGAGGUCAAGACGGGCCGUUUUCGGUGCAGUGGGCCUCUCAGAUUGCGCUGCACAGUAUAUAAAUUGUGAACCAAAUAAUCAGACUUGUUCUUCGGCUGGAUUACACUUUCUCCCGGAGUAUCAGAUGCAUUCCACUGAGACCACAGAAAGAAAACACAAAGAUCAAGAAACCGUGACACCAGCUUGUUCUGCCCAGCAGAUCCACUGGAAUCCUGUGGAUUGAUCGGAUCCCCUUGCUUCAAGCCAGCAGCCAAGCUGUUGCUCUUCCCAGCUCACAGAGCAGCUUUCUCAGCCUUCAGCGCCCCCGCAUCUCAGCUGCAGUUUGUCAUAUUGGAUGGCGUGAGUGUGGCUCCCAAAAGCUGGAGCCCGGCCAUACCACCUGCACACGGAGCAGCAGAGGGAGGAGAGACUGCAGGACUCUCUCUGGCAAAUUCUCACCUGCACCUCCAGGUCAGACCCCACCCAACAUCAAGGAUGAUUCUGCAGAGUGAGCAGCUCCCCUCACCUGGACAGCAACAGCAGGUGCACAGACCACCCAGACACCCG
This is a non-coding RNA of Vicugna pacos (alpaca), 1685 nucleotides long. The record is from RefSeq and is a predicted model, not a curated record. Lineage: Eukaryota; Metazoa; Chordata; Mammalia; Artiodactyla; Camelidae.